RNAcentral lists this ribosomal RNA (319 nucleotides) under uncultured bacterium. RNAcentral describes it as "bacterial SSU rRNA". It matches the Rfam family "Bacterial small subunit ribosomal RNA", at positions 772 to 1084 of the family's 1533-position model. The record is from RNAcentral.
ACUGAAUAGAUACCCGGGUAGUCCUGGCCGUAAACGAUGUCCACUAGAUCGUGGUGCUCUGACGCCAUCAACGGUCGAAAGCAAAAGUGCUAAGUGGACCGCCUGGGAAGUACAGUCGCAAGGCUAAAACUCAAAGGAAUUGACGGGGGCUCACACAAGCGGUGGAGCAUGUGGUUCAAUUCGAAGCAACGCGCAGAACCUUACCUGGGCUUGACAUGCUAGGAUUAUCCCUAUGAAAGUAGGGUAGGCCCUUCGGGUACGAACUAGUACAGGUGCUGCAUGGCUGUCGUCAGCUCGUGUCGUGAGAUGUCGGGUUAAG